CAGUGUGUAAGACUGGUGGAGGAGAACAUGAUGCCAAGAUGCAUGAAAAAAAACUGUGAUUAAAAACCAACCAGGGUUAUUCCACCAAAUAUUGAUUAUUUCUGAACUCUUAAAACUUUAUGAAUAUGAACUUGUUUUCUUUGCAUUAUUUGAGGUCUGAAAGCUCUGCAUACUUUUUUUGUUAUUUCAGACAUUUCUCAUUUUCUGUAAAUAAAUGCUCUAAAUGACAAAAUGAGAAAUGUUAAUUUUACUUGAACAUAAACCUAUAAAUAGCAAAAUCAGAGAAACUGAUUCAGAAACUGAAGUGCUCUCUCCAUUUUUUUACAGAGCUGUAUGUAGGUUUAUGCUGGUUGUCGGUACGUAGCCUUAUGAACACCUUACGAAGGUCAAUCUGACUUGAUCUGUACCACAUUCUAGAUGAUUCCCUGAGAAAAUGCAGCAGAAAAUAAACCCAAAUACUGGAUUGAAUGUUUUGGUUUUGGUUGUUGGAGAUUUAUUUUGGUUUAACGUCUGAAAGCAGAACUGAAGAAUUUACCAAAAGAUCCUGUUUGUUUGUUUGUUUGUUUGUUUGUUUUUUUCUGUGUUGAGCUGUGAAAUUUCAUUCUUCUUGUUAGAACAUUCAUGCAAUAAAAGCGUGUGCGUUUUUCUAAA
Astyanax mexicanus (Mexican tetra) is the source of this 651-nucleotide long non-coding RNA. RefSeq lists it as uncharacterized. The record is from RefSeq and is a predicted model, not a curated record. The transcript is spliced from 2 exons. Lineage: Eukaryota; Metazoa; Chordata; Actinopteri; Characiformes; Acestrorhamphidae.